Molecule: long non-coding RNA, 270 nt
Filed under: Homo sapiens (human)
Lineage: Eukaryota; Metazoa; Chordata; Mammalia; Primates; Hominidae
Description: non-protein coding lnc-TMEM232-2:1
Source: RNAcentral
GGAAAGGGCAUGGUGGCUGCUUCUGUCACCCUCACCUGACAUGCCUUCCCCUCUAGUGGCUUGCUGUAGGGCCAGAGAGUGUGAGUGCCCACUAGAACCUUCGGCUUCAUCUCUUGAUUGCUGAUGGGGGCAAGAACAACAGAAAGCAGCCUACACUGAGCUUCGACUUGCAUUCUUCUGGAGAUCAGAAGUUCUGGAGUGACACUUGUGAGCAGCAUUCAUGAGUUGCCUCCACAGUCGGUGAGAUGGGUCCGCUCAAGUACUGCAUAC